This 5547-nucleotide long non-coding RNA is filed under the name Olea europaea (common olive). RNAcentral describes it as "long non-coding RNA (OEUR_LNC003799)". The record is from RNAcentral. Lineage: Eukaryota; Viridiplantae; Streptophyta; Magnoliopsida; Lamiales; Oleaceae.
CAACAUGUAACAUUUUUAUCUUAUCAUUCUUUACCCGUUGUACGGAAUUUUCUUUGGGAGUAGCAGUACUUGCGUAUGCUAUAUUACCUAUUGCACAAAUUGAUAUGCUGCUGCCCUGUUGAUGUAGAUUGAAUCUACAAACACACGACAACAAUAAUCAAACGGAUUGAAUUCAGAAACAAACUUUUAUUAUUUCGUGAAUAACCAAGAAAACUCUAGGAGGCGUCUUGCAGCGUCUUAAAUAUGAAAGAAAAGAUAACCUACUGGGCCAGCAGUCCCAAAAUGGGUUGGGCUACAAAAUGGAAAUAACAAAUGCUGAAAAUAAAUAACACGAAAACUUAAAAUGCUGUUUUGACACACUAAACGACUUCAAAUACCCAAAAACCAUCGUACGUCACGGCGAAGUGGUGUGCUCAAUCUGAAACGCUCGCUACCUUUCCGAAAUGGUGUUAUGGGCCCAAAACGGACACCAAACGCAAAAGUUACAUCAAUUUCUUUGAAAGCCGACCAUCCAACCGUUCCAUGUAUGCCAAUGCCUGUUCCUCCACAUAAACCUCAUCAUUCUCCCUGGGAUCAAUGGGAUUCGCCCUCGAAUCAGAACCAGUAGCACUAUCUCCCACAUUGUCUCCAUGGUAUGGUAAAAGAUGCUUUACAUUAAACACAUCAGAAGUCCGUAUAUGGGAAGCAAGUCGAAGACGAUAGGCGUUGGGGUUGAUCUUCUCCACAAUUUCCACUGGACCAAUGGUACGAGGUGAUAACUUCGAAUGCUCAUGAGAUGGCACUCGAUCCUUAGUCAGUACCGCCCAAACAUAAUCCCCAACGUCAAACUCAACAGGACGUCGAUGCCGAUCAGCCGCCUCUUUAUACUUACGGUUGGAUUCUAGCAAAUUAGCUCGUGUUUCCUCGUGAACUUGUUGCAAACUACGAACAAAGUCAACAACUGUCCCAUGCAGCCGAGUCUUAGAGGGCAGAGUCAAUAAAUCAACAGGGCCGCGGGGCAGAAUACUAUACACAACCUGGAACGGACUGAAACUGGUGCUUCUAUUUCUAGCAUGAUUAUACGCAAACUCUGCCUAGCUAAACCGCUGAUCCCAUGAGCGUAGAUUAUCCCCAACCAAGCACCGCAACAAGUCACCCAAAGAACGAUUAACUACCUCUGUUUGCCCAUCAGUUUGAGGGGGAUAAGCACUACUAAAAUUGAGCGACGUGUUAACUGACUUCCAUAAACUCCGCCAAAAGUGAUCGAUGAACCUCGUGUCUCUGUCAGACACGAUGGAAGUGGGCAACCCAUGCAACCGAUAAAUCUCUCUGAAAAAUAGCUGAGAAACCUUGACAGCAUCAGUGGUGCGCUUGCAGGGAAUGAAGUGCACCAUUUUAAAAAAACGAUCUACUUCCACAAAGAUGGAAUCAUUGUGCGCGGUAAAACCAGGACAAAAUCCAUGCUAAUAUCAAUCCACGGAGCUGAAGGCACUGGUAAGGGUCGAUAAAGACCAGCGUUUGUGGCUUUCCCCUUUGCCACGUGGCACACCCUGCAUCGUGAGACAAACUUCUCCACUUCACAACGCAUAGUAGGCCAGAAAAAUAAAGCGCUAAUCAAAACCAGAGUACGAUCGCGCCCAACAUGACCUUCACCAUGAAACUCCUCAAUCAAUUUCAGACGAAAGCUCCAAUUUGGUAUACACAACUGAACACCUCUAAACACAUACCCAUCCUCUAACAGAAAAGAGGAAUGGGGUCCUUGCAGUAAAUUGUGAUAGAUGGGGCCAAAAUAAGGGUCAUCAGAAUAAAGAGAGACAAAGGUCUCAAACCCGGUGAUCGCUAUCUGUAGCCACGCUAAUAACCCAUGCCGCCGACUGAGGGCAUCUGCCACACGAUUAGAAGAACCAGCCUGAUGUUUAAUGACAAAGUUGAACUGCUGCAAAAAGGCAACCCAUGAUGCAUGACGGGCAGAUACAGACUCCUGGCUUGACAAAUGUUUGAGGGCUUCAUGAUCACUGUAUAAGACAAAUUCUCGCUGAAACAGAUAAUGUCGCCAAUGGCGAAUGGCCUGAACAACAGCAUAAAGCUCUGCAUCGUAAGUGCUAUACCUCCCACGAGCCCUGCCAACUUCUGACUGAAAUAAGCUACUGGUUUCCUUCCUAACUGAGGACAGCUCCGAUACCCAAUUUAGAGGCAUCACAAUGUAAUGCAAAAGGUUUUGUGAAAUCAGGCAACGCAAGUAUCGGGGCUGAAGUCAGGCGCUCCUUAAUGAUCAAAAACGCUUUCUCAGCCUCGGGUGUCCACUGAAACUUACUCUCCUUCAUGCAAUCAGUAAUGGGAGACAUGAUGGUGCUAAAGUGCUGAAUAAAUCGUCGAUAAAACGACGCUAAACCGUGGAAACUCCGCACAUCAGAAACUGACUGUGGACGCGGCCACUGCCGAAUCGCAUCAACCUUAGCUGCAUCCACCAUUACCCCACCGGUUGACACAACAUACCCCAAAAAUAAAACACUAUCGGUAUAGAACACGCACUUCUUAGUGGCUGCAAAGGACUUCUCCUUGCGUAAAACAGUAAGGACUUUCCCUUAGAUGCACACCAUGAGACUCUUCCGACCCACUGUACACCAAUAUGUCAUCGAAGUAUACAACAACGUACUUACCAAUAAACGGUCGAAGUGCUUGGUUCAUCACCUGCAUGAACGUGCUCGGUGCAUUGGAUAGUCCAAACGGCAUAACUAGCCACUCAAAUAAUCCCUCCCGUGUCUUAAAUGCUGCUUUCCACUCAUCACCAGGGCGGACUCUUAUCUGAUGGUAACCACUUUUCAAGUCCAGUUUGGUAAACACAGUUGCGCCGGCCAACUGAUCAAGCAAGUCAUCUAGCCUCGGUAUCGGAAAGCGAUAACGAACUGUUAUUUUGUUGAUGGCCCUGCUAUCUAUACACAUCCGAUAACUCCAUCUUUUUUUGGCACUAGGAGUGCGGGGACUGCACACGAGCUGAAGCUCUCUCUGAUGUACCCCUUCUGCACCAACUCCUCUACUUGUCUUCUCAACUCCUCAUGUUCCACUGGGCUCAUUCGAUAAUGUGGACGAUUAGGCAAUGACGCGCCUGGUACCAAAUCAAUGUGAUGUUGCAUAUCCCGCAAAGGCGGAAGACCCUGUGGAAGGUCAUCCGGAAACACAUCAUGAAACUCAGACACCAAGGCGGUAGCUUUGGGGUGAAGACCCGUCCCCUCGGCUGCCAUAGGAACUGUCGACACUCCUGUCGCCUCAAUUCCUACUAACAACAGUGCAACACCUUCUGCCAGCAUCUCACGCACAAACAAAAUUGGGAAAGUAGAUUACUACUGUCCCCUGCCGAAGACAGACACUGCGUAUCUUUGGGGGGUAGUAGUACAAUCUUUUUACCCGAAAAGGUGAAUGUAUAUGCAUUUCGACGCCCUUCAUGGCACACAUCCCUAUCAAACUGCCAUUGACGACCCAACAACAAAUGACACGCAUCCAUCAGCACCACAUCACACCAAACACUAUCACGAUACACACUGCCAAUAGAAAAAGAUACCAACACACGGCUAGUAACACGAAUCUCAUUACCUCGUCUCAACCAUGCUAGGCUAUAGGGAGCAAGAUGAGGUUCGGUGCUUAACUACAGCUUCUGCACGGCCGCUUCAGAUAUCACAUUUUCGCAACUGUCCGAAUCAAUGAUGAACCUACACACCUUUCCUCCAAUGGUACAUGUAGAUAGAAAGAUAUUGUUUCGCUCCAGGUCCUCAGACGACCCCUUAGGCGUAAGACACGCUCGUCGAACCACCAAAAGAGGCCCCGUGUCACCUGUAUGCACAAUUUCAGCCUCUUCUUCUUCAUUCUCCACAUGAACAGGAUCGUUCACAUCGGCUUGUGUUGUCCCUCCAAUGAACAAACCUGGGCGUGGCUGCCCAUGAGAUGGACAAUCCUUCCUCAAAUGACCAAAACCACCACAACCAAAACACUGACUUCCACGCCCUCGUCCACCAGGAGAAGCCCAGCCACCCGGAUUAGCGGUUGGAGGAACCACUGGCCGAGUGUUCCGAUCAAUGCCCCGACCCCCAGAUGUAAAGGAUUGGGACGGACCAGAUGUGAGAUUUGGGGCGAAUUGUCGACCCCCACUUCCAGAUGGACCACCAGAUAUGCCUACUACAGAACGACGUUGUUGUUGAUUUUCAGCCUAAAGUGCUCGCUGGUGAGCCUCAGAAACAAAUACCGGCGAGAACAUAUUUAGGAUGUCUUGCAAAUUCAAUCGUAGUCCACCAAUAUAGCGCGCUACCAACUGGUCUUCUGAUUCUCCCACAUCAUUUCGCGCUAUCAGUUGGUAAAACUCUGUGGAAUAAGCAUCUACAGAUCGAUUGCCUUGUCUCAAAUUCUGUAAGCGCUGAUACAAAGUCUGGAAUAAUUAAAGGGAAGAAACGCUGCCUUCAACUGUUUCUUCAUUUUUUCCCACGACUGGAUUUUUGCCUUACCCUGACGGAUCCGAUUUUACUUCAGUUGCUGCCACCCCGCAACAGCACGACCACGCAGACAGGUCACCACCAAAGGUACCCUUUUAUUGUCGGGCACUUUUUUGUAAUCCAAGAUCUCCUCUACUGUCGCCACCCAAUCGAGGAAUUCAUCUGCCUCAAUUCCACCGUGAAAUUCAGGUAUAUCAACCUUGAAUCCGGAUUCCCAUCGCUGAAACGCGUCCUGCUGUUGCACACGAGGCUGUUGAACACGAUCGCCACGUGCCUCUGACAAGGUCUCCUCAUCCGACCUCUCUCCUGAUUCAGAUCCACCUCCACCAUCACUCACUGGGGCACGACGUGGAGGAGCAAGAGGUGUUCCGUUCUGCACAACCUCUGCCGCCCACGUCAUGAAUUGAUCAAAUCGGAUUGUCAGCGCCUCAACUUGAUUACGCAGAUCUGCAACUUCAUCAAUCUGGCCACCACGGCCACCACGACCACCACGUCCUCUCCCACGCACCAUGCUCUGAUACCAAAAUGAUGUAGAUUGAAUCUACAAACACACGACAACAAUAACCAAACGGAUUGAAUUCAGAAAUAAAAUUUUAUUAUUUCGUGAACAACUAAGAAAAUCCUAGGAGGCGUCUUGCAACGUCUUAAAUAUGAAAGAAAAGAUAACCUACUGGGCCAGCAGUCUCAAAAUGGGCUGGGCUACAAAAUGGAGAUAACAAAUGCUGAAAAUAAAUAACACAAAAACUUAAAAUACUGUUUUGACACACUAAACGACUUCAAAUGCCCAAAAACCCUCGUACGUCGCGGCGAAGCGGUGUGCUCAAUCCGAAACGCUCACUACCUUUCCGAAAUGGUGUUAUGGGCCCAAAACGGACACCAAACGCAAAAGUUACAUCAAUUUCUUUGAAAGCCGACCAUCCAACCAUUCCAUGUAUGCCAAUGCAUGUUCCUCCACAUAAACCUCAUCACCUCUCCCCUAAACAACUUAGAAGUCUUAAGGCCAAUGCACUAUAACUACGACACUGCUCAACAACAUAAAGAUUAGCAAGUGAGCAGUAUUCUUGAUCUAAAAAUUAGCUAGAAAGAA